AGUGAACGCUGGCGGUAGGCCUAACACAUGCAAGUCGAACGGCAGCACAGUAAGAGCUUGCUCUUACGGGUGGCGAGUGGCGGACGGGUGAGGAAUACAUCGGAAUCUACUUUUUCGUGGGGGAUAACGUAGGGAAACUUACGCUAAUACCGCAUACGACCUACGGGUGAAAGCAGUGGAUCUUCGGACCUUGCGCGAUUGAAUGAGCCGAUGUCGGAUUAGCUAGUUGGCGGGGUAAAGGCCCACCAAGGCGACGAUCCGUAGCUGUCUGAGAGGAUGAUCAGCCACACUGGAACUGAGACACGGUCCAGACUCCUACGGGAGGCAGCAGUGGGGAAUAUUGGACAAUGGGCGCAAGCCUGAUCCAGCCAUACCGCGUGGGUGAAGAAGGCCUUCGGGUUGUAAAGCCCUUUUGUUGGGAAAGAAAAGCAGCAGGUUAAUACCCCGCUGUUCUGACGGUACCCAAAGAAUAAGCACCGGCUAACUUCGUG
This 491-nucleotide ribosomal RNA is filed under the name uncultured bacterium. RNAcentral's name for it is "partial 16S ribosomal RNA". It matches the Rfam family "Bacterial small subunit ribosomal RNA", at positions 29 to 507 of the family's 1533-position model. The record is from RNAcentral.